AUGUGCAUCCCAAAGGAUAAAGGUAGUAUGGGAUUUCAAGGCAUGCAUUCAUUUAACUUUGCCAUGCUAGCUUGACAAUGUUGGAGAUUAAUUGAAAAUUAUGAUUCUUUAUGUGCUAAAGUUCUUCGAACUCGAUGAUAUCCUUCAGGUGAUAUUUUGAAUAACACACUAAACAAGGGGUCCUUGUUUGUUUGGUAGAGUAUAUUUUCAGGAAUUCAGACAUUCAAAAAGGGGUGCAUAUGGCAAGUUGGGAAUGGUGUGAAAAUCAACUUGUGGGAUGACUGUUGGAUCCCAAAUAGCCCCUUAAGGAAAAUCAAUAUUGUUCGAGGUAAUUGCAUUCAAACAUAUGUAAAUGAACUUAUCGAUCCCAUUACAGGUGAGUGGGACGAACAGUUAAUUUGUGACAAUUUUUGGCAUGUUGAUGCGGAGUGUAUCAUGCACAUACCAAUUGUUGAGCAUGAGGCCGAUGAUAACAUAGCGUGGCAUUUUACUAAAAAGUGGUACUUUCACAGUAGGCUAUCGGUGUCAAAAUCGGCGGAUCUCGGGUAG
RNAcentral lists this ribosomal RNA (549 nucleotides) under Triticum aestivum (bread wheat). RNAcentral's name for it is "partial small subunit ribosomal RNA". The record is from RNAcentral. Lineage: Eukaryota; Viridiplantae; Streptophyta; Magnoliopsida; Poales; Poaceae.